RNAcentral lists this ribosomal RNA (457 nucleotides) under uncultured bacterium. RNAcentral's name for it is "bacterial SSU rRNA". It matches the Rfam family "Bacterial small subunit ribosomal RNA", at positions 28 to 524 of the family's 1533-position model. The record is from RNAcentral.
GAUGAACGCUGGCGGUAUGCGUUACACAUGCAAGUCGUACGGAAGUUUUUAACUUAAGUGGCGGACGGGUGAGUAACACGUAAGAAUUUACCUUUAGGAAGAGGAUAACAAUUGGAAACGAUUGCUAAAACUCUAUAUGCAUUUUUUGUGAAAUGGGUUACCAGCCUAAAGAAAAGCUUGCGGCUGAUUAGCUUGUUGGUAGGGUAAAGGCUUACCAAGGCGACGAUCAGUAUCUGGUUUGAGAGGAUGAUCAGACACACUGGAACUGAGACACGGUCCAGACUCCUACGGGAGGCAGCAGUGGGGAAUUUUCCGCAAUGGGCGAAAGCCUGACGGAGCAAUACCGCGUGAGGGAUGAAUGCCUAUGGGUUGUAAACCUCUUUUUUCAGGGAGGAAGUAAGUGACGUGUACCUGAAGAAUAAGCAUCGGCUAACUCCGUGCCAGCAGCCGCGGUAAU